RNAcentral lists this ribosomal RNA (253 nucleotides) under uncultured bacterium. RNAcentral describes it as "partial 16S ribosomal RNA". It matches the Rfam family "Bacterial small subunit ribosomal RNA", at positions 524 to 776 of the family's 1533-position model. The record is from RNAcentral.
UACGUAGGUGGCAAGCGUUGUCCGGAUUUACUGGGCGUAAAGCGUGCGCAGGCGGUUUUGUAAGCCAGAUGUGAAAUCCCCGGGCUUAACCUGGGAAUGGCAUUUGGGACUGCAAGGCUGGAGUGUGGCAGAGGAGACUGGAAUUCCCGGUGUAGCAGUGAAAUGCGUAGAUAUCGGGAGGAAUACCGAUGGCGAAGGCAGGUCUCUGGGCUGACACUGACGCUCAUGCACGAAAGCGUGGGGAGCAAACAGG